This 253-nucleotide ribosomal RNA is filed under the name uncultured bacterium. RNAcentral describes it as "partial 16S ribosomal RNA". It matches the Rfam family "Bacterial small subunit ribosomal RNA", at positions 524 to 776 of the family's 1533-position model. The record is from RNAcentral.
GACGAACCGUGCAAACGUUAUUCGGAAUCACUGGGCUUAAAGCGUGCGUAGGCGGCUCAGAAAGUUGGGUGUGAAAUCCCUCGGCUCAACCGAGGAAUUGCGCUCAAAACUACUGAGCUCGAGGGAGUUAGAGGUGAGCGGAACUAAUGGUGGAGCGGUGAAAUGCGUUGAUAUCAUUAGGAACACCGGUGGCGAAAGCGGCUCACUGGGACUCUUCUGACGCUGAUGUACGAAAGCUAGGGUAGCGAACGGG